Molecule: non-coding RNA, 1147 nt
Organism: Chrysemys picta bellii (western painted turtle)
Lineage: Eukaryota; Metazoa; Chordata; Testudines; Emydidae
Source: RefSeq, a predicted model, not a curated record
CACGGGGAGGGGUGGGGGGAGGGAGAGAGAGAGACUGCCGAAUCGAUCGCAACUUCUGCAAAGUCUAACACAAUCCAAACCACACAAGGCAAAGCCAGGGAGAGAGACUCUGAGAACCCAGCCAGCCCGGCUUGGAUGGCUUUCAAAAAAGAGGAGAGAGAGUGAGAGAGAGACAGAUUGCAUUGCAAAUCCUUCUGAUUUGGGAGUAAAGUUUUUUUUUAAAGAAAGAAACCUAACCAGCAGCCUGCAAUUGGCUACAGCUUUUAUUCUCUUCCGGGUUUUCAACGGUUCCAAGUUUAUUUUAGAUAUUAAAAAAAACAUUGAAAAAAGUGUCAACCUAUGAAGCCAAUCGUCUCAGCCUUGUAAAGUUUCUCACGUACUCUUUAUACAUUGCAAUGGCAUGCUUUGGUCAAUAUCUGCUCGCUGUGCCUCAGGUACAUGUCUUGCUGUCAGCCAGAAACUUCUGUCGAGGAAACCUGAAGAGCAAUGAAGUGAUAUAUAGCAGCAAAUAUGUAGAGGAAAGUGUUUCUUGUCAUUAUUUGACUAACAGAUACAGACCACUUUUUAUCAAAGGAAAGCACUGAGUGAAAACAGCUCAUUUUUCAGUUAGUCUAGGACAUCCCCAGUUAAAGAAAGUCUUGUAGAGAACUUCCAUCAAACAUCGCCCUGGUAAAUACCAAGAAUCUCUUUUCAGUCAGCAAAUUCAGUGACGUACUAGCGAGGGAACAGAAAUGAAAAAGUCUCCAGUUGGAGAGAGAGGAUUUUUGUUACUUUUCUUACACCAGGUUUCCUGACAGAGCCUUUUCUUUGAGCAGCAAUGGGCACAGGGAUUAACACUCCUGAACUUGUUGUGAAAAGGCUUUACAGUUUGAAAUACAGUAUCUACAUCUCCCAUGCACAUGAGAAGCUCUGCACGCUGCAUUCGAUGUGUCUUGUGGAGUCUCCUUUCCUUGGGGGUGGUGGUGGUGGUGGUGGUGUUAUGAAUGGUUGUGGAUGUGUAAGUGUCUGCAGGCUGCAUGCAGCUCAUUGGGAAGAGGAAGAGGAGAAGGGAGUACUCCAUCCAGGAGAUAUAUUGAUGUUAAACCGGAGAGAAAAUAUAAGACUCAAUAAAAGAGAAAAGCUAGCUGACUGGAACCUUUCCAAACCC